AACAGAUUUUGGCCAAAGUAGGGGGAGUAGCAUAACCUCUAGCAAAGGUAGAACAAAUGCUGCUCAGGUGAGUGAGGGGGUAAUUUCCUUUUAAAAAAAAAAAAACAAACUUCUCAAGCUAUUCAGUAUGUUUUCUGAAUCUUUUUUAACAGGUCCAAAGCAUUAGAUCUGCAAAUGUUUUCUCUGUAGCUACAUAAUUCCCUUAUAGAAAAGCCCUCGUUCUGCAACUGGUGAAGCAAGACAGGGGAAGGGAGGGAGCAGAUUUCCACCUGAUUUUCUCCACGUGCUUGAAGACGAGGAGUUUCUGCUAACUGCUGCCAGGCCAGGAGCU
This 331-nucleotide long non-coding RNA is filed under the name Anser cygnoides (Swan goose). RNAcentral's name for it is "lncRNA (ENSACDG00005000658.1)". The record is from RNAcentral. Lineage: Eukaryota; Metazoa; Chordata; Aves; Anseriformes; Anatidae.